CCUCGUUCGACUUCUGCAACGAUUACCUUAUCAAAUCCAUACGAGCUAAUCUGAUCUUGUAUGUUGAUGUAUUUUUUCGGCUAUAGCAGCAUUUUCGCCCGCCCUAUAUAACUUAUACAUCCAAUCAGCGGAUAUCUGCUCGUCAAUUAUCGUCGCACAGACAACCGGCAUCUUCGAUGAUAUUGAUAGCUUUACAAGAACUAAAAUACAAUGGAAAAAACGAGUCCGUUCCACUUUGCAAAGCCAAAGAUGAAUUGUAUUUGCGCAGCGUAGA
Molecule: non-coding RNA, 274 nt
Organism: Paramuricea clavata
Lineage: Eukaryota; Metazoa; Cnidaria; Anthozoa; Malacalcyonacea; Plexauridae
Source: the annotation of a GenBank genome assembly